UGGAAUCGCUAGUAAUCGUAGAUCAGCAUGCUACGGUGAAUACGUUCCCGGGUCUUGUACACACCGCCCGUCACACCACGAGAGUUUGUAACACCCGAAGCCGGUGGAGUAACCAUUUGGAGCUAGCCGUCGAAGGUGGGACAAAUGAUUGGGGUGAAGUCGUAACAAGGUAGCCGUAUCGGAAGGUGCGGCUGGAUCACCUCCUUU
RNAcentral lists this ribosomal RNA (207 nucleotides) under Staphylococcus epidermidis. RNAcentral describes it as "partial 16S ribosomal RNA". It matches the Rfam family "Bacterial small subunit ribosomal RNA", at positions 1327 to 1533 of the family's 1533-position model. Lineage: Bacteria; Bacillati; Bacillota; Bacilli; Caryophanales; Staphylococcaceae. The record is from RNAcentral.